GCUAGACAGCUAGCUUAAACCACCAAAAAUACCAAAACAACAUUAUCAUGUUUUACAAGGACAAUAAUACACCGAACUAAAACAUUUUACCGCCCUAGUAUGGGAGACAGAAAAGGCACCACAAAGCUAUAACCAAAGUACCGCAAGGGAACACUGAAAGAGAAAUGAAAUAAAUCAUUAAAGCAUAAUAAAGCAGAGACUAGCCCUCGUACCUUUUGCAUCAUGAUUUAGCCAGCAUCACUGAGCAAAGAGAACUUUAGUUCAAAACCCCGAAACUAAGUGAGCUACCCCGAGACAGCCUAUUAAUUAGGGCCAACCCAUCUCUGUGGCAAAAGAGUGGGAAGAUCUCCGGGUAGGAGUGAUAGACUUACCGAACUUAGUUAUAGCUGGUUGCCUACGAAAUGAAUAGAAGUUCAGCUUCGCACUCCUCAACUCACAAAUACAAAACACGAGCCAGAGAAAUAUGCGAAAGUUAAUCAAAGAAGGUACAGCUUCUUUGAAACAGGACACAACCUAACCAGGAGGUUAAAGAUUAUACUCCACAAGAUAUGCCGCUCUAGUGGGCCCAAAAGCAGCCACCCAGACAGAAAGCGUUAAAGCUCAGACGGAUUAAAAAUCUAUUAUUCGAAUACUCAAUCUAAAACCCCUAACCCUAUUAGGCCACCCUAUGCCAACAUAGAAAAGAUACUGCUAAAAUGAGUAAUAAGAAAGAACACCUUUCUCCUAGCCCACGUGUAUGCUAGAUUGGACCAGCCACUAGCAAUUACCGAACCCAAUCAAUAGAGGGUAAUGUGUCCCACACCAAACAUCAAGAAAUAAACACACAACUCAAUCGUUAAACCCACACCGGAGGGCCAAACUAGGAAAGACUAAAAGAAAAGGAAGGAACUCGGCAAAUACAAGCCUCGCCUGUUUACCAAAAACAUCGCCUCCUGCAAAAAUCAAUGUAUAGGAGGUCUUACCUGCCCAGUGACAAGUUUAACGGCCGCGGUAUUUUGACCGUGCGAAGGUAGCGCAAUCACUUGUCUUUUAAAUGAAGACCUGUAUGAAUGGUGGAACGAGGGCUUAACUGUCUCCCCUCUCAAGUCAAUGAAAUUGAUCUGCCCGUGCAGAAGCGGACAUAUAAAUACAAGACGAGAAGACCCUUUGGAGCUUUAGAUAAAAGAUCACCUAUGUUAAGGACCUAGACAAGUCAAACCAAAUAGAAAUUGAUCCUAAUCUUUUGUUGGGGCGACCACGGGAAAAAAUAAAGCUCCCACGAGGAUUGGGCCACACCCCAAAACCAAGAGAGACAUUUCCAAGUCACAGAACAUCUGACCAUAAAGAUCCGGCCACCCGCCGACCAACGGACCAAGUUACCCUAGGGAUAACAGCGCAAUCCCCUUCCAGAGUCCAUAUCGACAAGGGGGUUUACGACCUCGAUGUUGGAUCAGGACAUCCUAAUGGUGCAGCCGCUAUUAAGGGUUCGUUUGUUCAACGAUUAAAGUCCUACGUGAUCUGAGUUCAGACCGGAGUAAUCCAGGUCAGUUUCUAUCUGUAAUAGCUACUUUUCCCAGUACGAAAGGACCGGAAAAGAAGGGCCCAUGUUACCAAUACGCCCCAUCCCAACUUAAUGACGCCAACUAAAUUAAACAAAGGGAAAGCAUAAACCCAAAUCAAGACCAGAUU
This 1668-nucleotide ribosomal RNA is filed under the name Lophiosilurus alexandri (Pac-Man catfish). Its description in RNAcentral is "16S ribosomal RNA". The stretch from base 100 to 1558 matches the Rfam family "Bacterial large subunit ribosomal RNA". Lineage: Eukaryota; Metazoa; Chordata; Actinopteri; Siluriformes; Pseudopimelodidae. The record is from RNAcentral.